GAGUUUGAUCUUGGCUCAGGAUGAACGCUGGCGGCGUGCCUAAUACAUGCAAGUCGUACGAACAGCGGAAAGUGCUUGCACUUUCCAAGUAAGUGGCGAACGGGUGAGUAACACGUGAAUAACCUACCUCAAAGUCUGGGGAUAACCAUUGGAAACAGUGACUAAUACCGGAUAAAACCUAGUAGCACAUGCUACAAGGUUAAAAGCUGCGUUUGCAGCGCUUUAAGAUGGAUUCGCGAUGCAUUAGUUAGUUGGUGAGGUAAAGGCUCACCAAGACAAUGAUGCAUAGCCGAGUUGAGAGACUGACCGGCCACAUUGGGACUGAGACACGGCCCAAACUCCUACGGGAGGCUGCAGUAGGGAAUCUUCCACUAAUGGGCGAAAGCCUGAUGGAGCAACGCCGCGUGUGUGAUGAAGGCUUCGGGUCGUAAAGCGACUGUUGUAUGGGAAGUAACGGUUC
RNAcentral lists this ribosomal RNA (460 nucleotides) under uncultured microorganism. Its description in RNAcentral is "bacterial SSU rRNA". It matches the Rfam family "Bacterial small subunit ribosomal RNA", at positions 9 to 456 of the family's 1533-position model. The record is from RNAcentral.